CAGGGCAAACAUCUAUGUAUAUGAAUACUAAGAAACCCUCAACGAACAGGGAGGAAAUAAUAACUACAAAGGAGAGGCUAAAACUUAUCCACUUGAGAUUGUCAGUAUCAAACUUUAACCCAUUAAACAUCGAAUGUAACAAAGACCCAUCAAGAGAAAAAGUUGAAAAGAAAUAAUUUGGCAAAUUGGAAAGGAGAUCUAUUGUUCAUCAAACUCGUGAAUGUGAUCUAAAAGGUAGUUCGCAGCCAAUUCCUCAUUUUUGUUACACGCGAAGUAGACCUCCAAUACGAUUGCACGAUCAAAUCCCAUUGCUUCAAGCUGAAAACAAAAACCACAACUCAAAUUAUUAUAUAUUUCAGUCAUAACUCAGAUCAUUAUAAAUUUCAAUCACAACUCUGAUUAUUAUAAAUUUUAGACGACAGACGAGCUAAUAAACAUGUUAACCGCCGGUGCUCCUCGGAAACAGUAGGGGUCAGUUUAAAAAUAAUCACCCCUGAUGUUCUGAGGAACGGGACAAAGGCCGAAUUCGAACUAUGGUUAAAGCCGGCUAAACAAAUGUGUAGUGCUAAUAUUACAACAAUCACUAUUCUUGAAAGACUCAGUAAACAUAUACAUCACAUCCUAACGAGAAACCAUAAUAAAGACAGCCAAGGCACCAGAUAGAUGCGUAGCUAUUCAUUUAAUUAUUUAUAUACAGACAAGAAGUCAAACUUACACGUUCAAUUGCUUGGCGCUCCUCAGCAGUGACGGACACUGCUUGUGGCAUGCCACCAGCCAGCUGCCCCAAUAUGUUCCUGAAGUAAAACAAGUCAGUGAAAAUGGGCACAGAUGAUCCCCUGGAAAGACAUUCCCCUCCCAUCUCUACACACAAAUAACAUUAGCAAAGAACAGCAAAAGAUGAUCCCUUACCCUUCACCACCUUCCACAGGUUCAUUUAUCAGGCGAAGGAAAUCAGCUUGAUGAUCUCGAAUCAAUCUCAUAAGAUGAGGAUUUUGUUUGCCAAGCUCCUGUAGCAUAGGCUGAAGCAAGAACAAGAUUCAGAAAACCCUGAAGAAGACAACAUAGGCUACAGUGAUACACUACUGAGGAAAAGAAGAAAACCUGCAAUAUUUGUGGAUUAGCCUGCACCAUAGCCCGCAAGGCUUGGAACUGAAAUGCAAAUUAACAUAAUUGAAACAUCUAUUUAAAACAUAUCUAUGAAGCAAGAAAUUCAGUUUAAAUGAAGAGAAAGAUAAUAAAUACUUGUUGACUGUUGCGUAGAAAAUCCAAUGAGCCAGCACCAGCAGCACCAGCACCCACGUUGGGAAGGCCCUGUUACACAAAAUUCAGUAUACAACCCAAAGGUUCCAUUUUCUCUUCAAUAAAUAAAUGUGUAAUAACUACCUGCGGGAAAAGGUCUAAAGGAUUAGCAUUAGGUCCAGUUGAGGUAACCGGAGCAGGUUGUGCUGUCUGUGGAGCCGCAGCAGCAGGAGGAUUUGCAGGUUGAGCACCUGCAGGUGCUCUGGCUACAGCUGGAGCUUCAGCUUGCUCAGGGAUACCCUAACAUUGAUGAAUGGUAAUUUGAAUUAAAAAAGAAAAGGCAGCAAAAAAUCACAAGAGAAAAGAAACCACCUUCCACCCACAUAACUACGGUGCUCAACUGAACUAAAAAAAAUGCAACUGAAAUAUUUGGCGGACAAAAGUCAUCAAGCACAAAGAAUUUAACAUCUAAAAUUUACAUACAGAAUACAAAUAUUCAACAGCUCUCUCAGGGUUGUUAUAAGCAGCUCGAAGAGCACGGACAACAGUAUCCCUGUCCCAGCUCCCUCCACCCAUGUCAAUAAUCUGCUGAAUUGUUCCCUCCAAGUUGCUACCAGCAACGAGAUUGGAUGCCGCUAGGCCAUAGACAUCAGACCCCUCCCUGCUUCAGAAAGACAUUUGUUUAAAAACAGAACUUAAAAGAAGAAUCAAGCAAGUUGAAGAGUUCUGUCUUUCAGGAUACAAAAAUGACAGCAACUUUAAACUCUACAUUCCAUACAUGGCAUGGCAGGAAACAAAAUACAUACACAGGAGUUCCUGAAGAAAUAGAAGCAGGUGCAGGAGGAGCUGGCGCUGGAGAAGGUGAGGAUACAGGUACAGUAACAGUUGCAGGCCUGUCAAAUUGAAAUGAAGCCUUUAAAUAGCACAUAAUACAUAUUAAAAUAAUUGAAAUUCAUAUUUAUCUAAACAAAUAAAAUAAUCCUGUAAAGAUUAGUCACUCACAGUGCCUCAGUUGCAGCAGGAGCUUGAGGUGCAGUUGAAACUGGCGUUGUUGAAGUAGGAGGUGCACUAGUCUGUGGUGUCUGCAGUGAAUACACAAUUUGUAGAGAAUGUUUAGAUAACGCAUAAGAGAGAUUAUGCUUUUGUCUUACCAUAUCCCGUAAUAGGGUAAAGCCUAAAUGAUAGAAACAUUGCAAACUAUUGUCACCUUGGUCGAUGGUGCAGUAGAAGUAGUAGAUCCGUCAGCAGAUGUGCUCUUACUCUAGCAUUUUUUAAACACACAACUCUAAUUUAGUGCAAAAUAAAUUAAUACAAUUGUGAUACAGAAUAUGCAACAUAAUAUCGCUUUUUUUUAUAAAAAAAAAUGAACUAAAGAAAAAUUUACCUUGGAUAGCAUAAUUACAAUGAAACUAUUUUCAGCUACGUUAUUCUCCUCCAAGGUAGUAGCAUCCUUCAGAACUUUCCCUUGGUGAAUUAGCAUUUGCAGUGCAGCAGGAUAGACAUCUGCACCCUGAGCAGAUUCAAUACUUUUCUUCACUUCAGAAACCUGAAAAGAAUACCCACAAUUACAAAUAAUGUAACAUAUCAGUUACUGAUGUUCAGAAAAACCAGAAGUACGUAGAAGUGAAUCACAAAUCCCGUAAAACUAAAAGAUGAAGCAUUGAGACAUUUGACGAUAUAGAACUCCACAUUUAGGUCACAUCAAGUAUUUAGAAAAAUUCAAUUGUUAGAAACAUGCAACUUCUAAAGUGACUAAAAAACGCACACUAUUCACAUAAAAAGUGCAGUCCUAGAUUUCAAGACAAUACCCAUUCUGACAAUAAGAAGCAUUAAUCCAAAGAUUGCCAAUGCGGAACUUAUUAACUAUAACAUGCCAAGAAGCCCAAGCUUACAAAAACAGACUUCGCACUAAUAAUAGAAUCCAGAGAACCAUCAAUAAAAAGUUUGCCACUAAUUCACACGAGCAAAGAAUGUUCUGACGAGAAUAACACAGUUCAUCCGUUCCCCCAGCAUAUUCCACAUACCAAAUCAAUCAUCACUCCGAAAAAGCAGGAAUUAACUAUCAAGUAACAAAGUUAAUCCAAAUUGCCAUCAAAAUUAAAUUAGAAUUGACGUAAGCGAAACAUCAAACCCUAAUUAACACUCAAUUUGAGGGCUGUAAAAGGAAGAGAAACUUUCGAGACAAUUCAAGGCCGGGACGCGAUUAGCGACCGAAAUAGAAAAAGGAAAUUAGGAAGGAAACCCAAUCGAACAAGUUUAGAGUAACAAACCGCGUCUUGCGGCUGCACUUCGAUUUCGAAGUGAGUGCCUUUGAGAGUCUUCACGAAAACCUUCAUCUUCGUCACGGCUAUCGCAAUAAGGCGCCACGAACAGCGUCGGAAGUCACGCCGGUGUGGUAAAGUCGGCCGAUCCGAAGACAGCAACGACACCGUUGUAGAGAAGAAAGGAACAAGAGAGAGUGAGGAAAAGGCGCAACAAAUGUGAAGAGAAAACCUCCUUUCUCUGAUAAAAAUAAAAAUAAAUAAAUAAAUAAAAGGGAGAUAUGAUAUACCCGAAAAUGUGCUAGUUUAUGUUAGUGGUUGAGUGAGGAGUAUCACGCGCAAUUGGGAGCGUGGAUAAACGCGCGGCUUUGAUGGGGUAGAGGUGGUGACGUGGACGGUGGAGAGGAAGUGGCGUUAACGUGGAAGAAGGAUGAGAGAGAGUUGAAGUGGAGAGAGUUAGCUAGAUUUGUGUGUCUGGCGGGCGGUGAGUUGUGCCUCACCUCACUCCAAACCUUUUAUAAAUCUUUAGGAUCAUGUGUUUGUUUUUUAAAAUAAAUAUUAAAACCAUCAUUCUUUUAAUUUUUAUUAAGAUUUAGAUCAUAUAUUUUAUGAUUGAUCACUAUGUAUUUUCUUUUAUAUAUUAUUUAAGGUCAAGAUUUUUUUUUGUUUUUCUCAAUAUUAAAUGUUUUUAGUUAUAACAAACUCUUUAUUCUCUUUUGUAUAUUAAAAAAUAGUAUUUACAUAAAAAAAAAUUAUAAUAAAAUAUUUAUGUGAUAUUUAAAUUAUAUUUUUUUAAACUAUUUUCUGGAUCUUUAUAAAUAUUAUUUUUUUUAAGUGAACUUUUAUCAAACUUUCAAUUUUUUGUAAAAUUAAACAAAAAUUCAUUUAUCAAUACUUAUUUUCUCACGCUCAACUUUCCACUUUUCACUCUCCCGUCUAAACAAACAAACCCCUUAAAGAUAUAAAUUGAUUAAUAUCAAUACUUAAAUUUAACAUUUACAUAUGAUAAGAUUUGUUUAACAAGUAGAUCAGAUAAGAUUUGUUUAACAAUUAGAUGUGAUCAGUUAUAACAAGAAUAAGAUGGAAUAAAAACAAAAUAAACAUAUAAUAAUAAUUCUUAAUGUGUUUAAUGCAUGGAAUGACAUGAUAAUACAUCUUGAUAAUGAUAAUGAUAAUUAUGAAAAUAAUAAUGUUAUUAUUAUCAUUAAUGGUAAGAAUAAAAAUAUUAGGAACGGUAAAGUGAGACGGAUCAUAUUGUUCACAAUUCAUUGAGAAAAAGUGGAGCAGACUAUCAAUUUUGACCUGUUGGUCUAACUUAGGUCUGUCCUGCAUAAUCCGCAACCCGCACGAGUCAAGUGUGGAGUGGGCUAGCCCGCAUAACUUGUAUAUUUUAAAAUUUUAAAAAUUUCUUUUUACAUCCCCCAUAAUUUCUUUAUCCACCCUCAUAUUUUUAUAAUGAUUUUUUAAUAUUUAAUAGUAUUUUUUGUCUUUCUAAAAUGCAUAAAUUGUUAGAUUUCAAUACUCAUCAAGUGCUAAAUAUAAUAGUCACACUUUAAUCUUUUUUCUAAUAACAUUUAAAUAUAUAUUUUUAUUAGAAUAGUAAUUAUGUGUCUAGAUGUAUUACAUUGAAAAGUUGUAUAUAUUUAAUGAAGUAUUUUAUUAGUCAAUUUAUUAAUAUGAUUGAAAUUCAAAUUUCACUAAAAAUCAAAACAUCAUUAUAAUUUUUUUACUCAUCUUAUGUGUCGUGAUAAUAAUACUCUGAAACAAUUUACCUAAUUCAUCUAAAAAAGAAAAAAAAAACUUAAUAAAAAAAAUUAUUCAAAGUUUAUUUUUUAUUAAUUUAAAAAAAAUCUUAUGCGAGCCAACACAAGUAUGAAUGGGUUGUGUUGCAUUGUCAUUCCUAAAAAAUAUAAAGAGAGUAAUAAAAGUAGUACAAAUAACACUUUUUUCAACGGUUAAAUACGAAUCACUGUAAAUAAAAAUAUGGUAAAAUUUUUGUAAAUAUUUUGAUAUAUAUGACUUCAGUUCCAAAUAAAUCGAUUUUAAAAAUGAUAUAUUACACCGAUUAUGUGAAAAAAUAGGUGUAAAAUGUAGCUUAUAACAUGUAACAAAUUUAAAUUUUAUUUAGCAUGUUCACAUAUUUUUUAAAUAGUAUUACAUGAAAAACAAAAGAUCCUUUUUUUUAAAUAUACAUAAAUGUCAAAAGAAAAUAUAACGUAAGAAUGAAAUAUAAAAAUUCCAUCUGUUCAAGAAAGAAUCUUAUGAUGUAGAACAAUAUUCUUUACUUCCACAUAACACAUGAUCAUCACAUAAAAAAAUGUGUUUAGAUAAAUUGAUUCAACUAAAUUCAAAUGGAAUAUCAUAAUUACUCAAUUAAGACAAAUCUAGCAUGUUUCUAGACUUGCUCUUGAUUUGUAUUUUUUUUUUUAUAUUUUUAUUGCUCAUUAUAUAACCAACGUGCUAAACUCAGUGACUUAGUUGUGUGACUGACUAAUCUUAUCAAAUUAAUUUGGUUUUAAGCACAUUACCACAUUUAGUAAAUAUUCAUUGGAAGCUAUUUUUUUUUUUCAUACCUAUUUUAUAUUUAGAUUGUUUAGUGUUUUUAACUUAGUUCUUAAAAAUACACUAACGAAACCUUAGUUACGAAGAUUAGGAUUUCUAAAUUAUUUUUAUAACGCAUGUCAUUAAUAAUAAAUAUGAACACAUAAAAUAAAAUAUAAUAAAAAGUAAAAAAACUAAUGAAAUAUAUAGAAGAAGAAAAUUCAGAUAUUUUUAUAUUAUCCAUCUUCAUCUAAUCAGUUCAUUAUUUUUUUCUAUAACAGAUCACAAACUCAUUAUUUCUUUUCAUUUCUCACUUCUCGUGUUCUAUUUUUGAAAUGAAAUAAAAAAAAAAAAACAAACUCAUUAUUUUAAUUCAUUUCAUACUAGUUUUUUUUUAAAAAAAAUUUGAGAAAAAAAGGUAACACUCUCUAACCCACUAGUGUAAUAUUUCUUAUAUAUGAACUUUUAUAUUUUUUUCAUGUUGAAAUAAAAGAAUUUAAAUAAUUUUUUAAAAUUUUAAUAAUAACUAAUUGAAGUAUUCUUAUUUUUUAAAAAUAUUUUUGUACGAAAUUUCAUUUUAGGAACACAAAAUAAAACCUCAUUGUAUGUUUUUUAUAACCAAUUUUAAUUAUAACUUAUUGAUAAGUUCAAGAUUUUGAAAGAAAAAAAAGUCAAUCUCGUAUGAUUUUUCUAUAAUUAUAAUUAGGUCGUCAUGGAUUGGAUUUUCUAAAAAUUAAUCUAAAUCCAAAUAAAUGGAUUGGAUUUAAAAUUUAUAUCCAUUUUAAUUAGAUCAAAAGUGGAUUAAAUCUACUUUUAAUCCAUUUUGUUAAUUAGAUUAAAUUCACUUUGUCAAUCACAUUAAAUACAUUUUGAUAUGGACACAUACUAACUUGACUCGAACCGGGUCUAAGCUGACUCAACCUGAACGUGGACCAACUCGGUUCGCCAUCGGCCCGGGCCUGGACAACUUGACAUCAGCCCGAGCUCAGACGACUCAACAUCGGCCCGGGCCUAAAUGAUUCGACAUCAGCCUGAGCUCGUUCGACUCGAACUCGGCUCGUGCCCGCUCGACUCGACAUUAGCCAGGGCCCAAUUGACUCGACAUCGACCAGGGUCCGCUCCACUCGACAUCGACUCGAGCCCGGAAGACUUAACAUCGGUCUGGGCACGAACAACUCGACAAUGGCCUAGGCCAGGACGACUCGAGAUCGACUCGGGCCCGCUCGGCUUGACAUCGACCUAAGCCCACUUGGCUCGACAUUGGCCAGGGCCCAAUCGACUCGACAUAGACCCAGACCCGCUCCACUCGACAUCGGCCCCAACCCGUUCAGCUUGACAUCGGCCCGUGCCCGGGAGACUCGACAUUGGCUCGGGCAGGCUCGGCUCAACAUCGGCCUGGGCACAAUCAACUCAACACGGGCCUGCGCACGAGGGAUUCAACAUGGGCCCAAGCCCAGACGACUCAACAUUGACCCGGACAACUCAGUAAUGACCCGGGCCUGGAUUAUUCGACAUCAACCCGGGUCUGCUCUCGACAUUGACUUAGCCCGGACGACUCGACAUCGGUAUCGGCCCGAACGACUCAACAUCGGUCCGGAUCCGAACGACUCAACAUUGGCUCGUUCCCGCUCGGCUUGACAUCGGUCCGGGCCCGUUCGGCUCGACAUUAGCCAGGGCCCAAUCGACUCGACAUAGACCCAGGCCCGCUACACUUGACAUCAGCCUGGACCCGUUCAACUCGACAUUGACUCGGGCAUUUUCGGCUCGACAUUGGCCCAGGUUCGGGAGACUCGACAUCGACCCGAGCCUAGGAGACUUGACAUCGGUUUGAGCCCGUUCAACUCGACAUCGGCCAAGGCCCAAUCGACUCGACAUCAACUCGGGCCCGCUCCACUCGACAUCGACUCGGACCCGUUCGACUUGACAUUGGCAUGAGCCCGAGAGACUCGAUAUUGGCUCGGGCCCACUCGGCUUGACAUCAGCCUGAGCCCGGGAGACUCGACAUUGGCUCAGGCUUGUUUGACUGGACAUUGGCCCAGACCCAAGAGACUCGACAUCGGCCCGGGCCCGAAAGACUCAACAUCAAUUCGGGCUCGUUCAACUUGACAUUGACUCGGGCCCGCUCCACUUGCAUCGACCCGGGUUUAGGGUUUAGGGCCAGCUCAGCUUAACAUCAACUCGGGAAUGCACGACUCGACAACGGCCCAGACACGCUCGGCUCGAAAUCGACCAGGGCCUGCUCGGCUCGAUAUGGGCUCGGGACUGCUCGGUUAGAGAUUGGUCGGGCCGCGCUCGACUCGACAUUGGCUGGAUUGUCUUGGCUUAACUUGGAUCGGGCCAAGUCAAAAUUCAUCCCAAAAUACAAUUUGGAUAAUCCAAAAAUGUAUUCAAUCUAUAUCUAAUCCAUAUCCAAUUAAAUGGAUUGGAUUUAAAAUCCAAAAAUAUGGAUUUGGAUUUGAAAUAAAUCCAUUUAAAUGGAUUAAAAUUAAUAUGGAUGGUUAUGGAUUGGAUUUUGUAAUUUGGAUUUUUUACCCACCCUUAAUUAUAAUCAUAUUAAAUUAUAUACUUAUAUUUUUGUUAUAUAUAUAGUUUUAGGUAUGUAAUUUUAGUUUUCAAAAUUGUUGAUGUAACUCUAAAUCCCCCAAUAGCUUUCUGACAAAAAAUAAGACAGUUAUUCUGGAUGAUUGAAUUUGAAAAAAAAAUAAAAAAUCAUAAUACAUUUAUAUAUUUGAACUGCUUGAAUUUUCCUUUCCCAUAAAUUGAUUUGGAGUAAAAAGCAAAAAGAAAGUAAAUAUAUAUAAAGUUUAGCAAUAAUUCUCAAUACACACUUGCCGAAAGUCAUAAGACUAUGUUUUUUAUUUGGAUAUUUCUUUUAAACCAUUUAUAAGAAGAAAAUUAUCCAAAGUUCAAGCCAAGUGUACAGGUUCCGAGUACGAACUCAACGACCGCUUCUCAACGAUUUGUUAUAUGUAUUUUUCAGAAAUAUAUUUAUUUAAAAUCACAGUUGAACAAUAAAAUGAAAUGAAUAUAUCAAUCCAACCCAUCAAAUAAAACCUGCACAUCAUUUAAGCUAAUUUGAUUAUCGGUAUUUCAAACUUGUAAUUUCACAGGAUUCAAAUAUCACUAUUUCUGUAGUUGAAAACAAAUUAUUUAUAUGUGUAUAUACAGAAAUACAAAACUAUAAACCAGCUGAAAAUUUCACAUGCAUUUUGUUAUUAAUUUAGCACAAAUCUAUUUGGUAGGGCGCCAAGAGCCGUUGGGUAAAACUAACUAACAUAAUUACAUCUUUAUGUAUAUAGUACAUAAAUAGAAGCAUGUGUAGUUAGGUUGGUGAUAUAUACUAUAAACCCUUACUAACAAAAUAGAAAGGGCAUUCAAUUUAUUUUCUCUUUUCUAUCUAUAAACUCACCAAUCCAACCUAAUAUUUCGGGAAAGGUACAGUUUAUCAAUGUAUUCUAUAAUCGGAAGUGAUGCAGCAAUAUACCUUUUCAUCUUCUUCUCGGCUGAUUGCUCUGCAAAACAUUAUCAUAUUCUGUAACAUGAACUGAUUGCAAGAAAAUCUAUGUAAAUGAUGAUAGGAUAAAGUUUGUUCAAAAACCCUUUGCUCACAUCAUAUGUUUGAUUAUAUACACUUUAAUAAGCACACCACAGAACAUAAUAAAACAAUGCAAAUUACCUGUUUCAUUCAGCUUCAUCAAAAGUUGUUCUCUAGUUGGAAGUGUAUACAUCCCAGCGUACACAGCUGUUCGCACCGCCCAUGUGUGAUACGGAGCACAAACCUGUCCAUAAGCUGUUGAAGCCACUUCCUUUAGAGAAGUAUCGCUGAAGAUGCCAAAUUACAAAUCAGAUGUCAAAAACCCAUGAGGUACUUGAAUUAACUAAGCAAAAUGGUAGAAUUUAUGAAGCUCUAGUUCAACGUGGGUGAAAUUAAACAGACAGGAAUUUUCCAAUAUAUCAUGGAAAAUUCAGCAUUGUAUUUAUGCUGCAUACACAAAAAAGGUUUCUUACUCCGUAGAUAAAAGCUGUUCGAAUAUAGCUCUGACCAGAUCCAGACCCUGCCGAACUCUACGCAGAUUACGUGAAUAGCUUCCAGAUGUUUUCACUGUGUCACUGGCAACAUCAAAAUCAAGAAUAUCCUGUAGAGUGGAAUAUGUCUUUGAUGCUUCCAAUAGUCCAUGUAGCUGAUCAUAUUAACAUCGCAUAUUCAUACAGUCAGAACAACUGGUCUAGAAAACAUGAUGAAGUGGAAAUUUUGGGAGUUAAAGCAAAGAUGAUGCACUGAAUAUAAAGAGGAAUUAGUUGAAUGAGAAUUAACUCUGAAUAUGAAGUUAUGUACACAAUGAGCAUGGAUCAAGUGUCAUAAAACUGUGAACAGAAAAGCUUUUGGAAUAGUAUAUUUAAAACCUUGAAUGUAUCAGAGUAUACAGAGAUCACCCAACAUGAACCUGAAGUAAGAUUUAUGAACUACUACACCAAAGUUAUAUGUUACACCAAAAUAAAUGCAUUUCCAUCAAGAACAAUGGGGAGAGGGUAUCGAGCCUGUGGUUUACCAGUGAAUUGUUUGCAAAGAAUCCAAAUUCAGUAUGAUCUCAAAAAAUUGAAAGAAAAAGCGAAGAUAACAUGAUUUAUACCACAAGGAGUGACUAGAGGAAAAUAAAGAUUAAAAAAAACUAAAUUCUGAAAUCAUAACAGUUAAUCGCCAGCGCACGAAUCAACGUUUCAGUUAUCUUUUGGCCAUUUUUCACAUGCACCACCAACAAAAUAAAACCUGGCUUUUUUAAUCCACAGUGUUCGUUCGUCCAACCAUUGUAUCUGGAGUUCAAGUCUUCAAGAAAUUCAUUAAAAAAGAUUUUUUUUGUUUAUUUUCCUAAAAUAUGCUCCUUCCAAAUCAAUCCUGUUAGAUGCAGCAUUAGACACUAUACAUUUUCUCCAGUAAAAAUUCGCACCGUGAUUGAUCGCGUCAUGAAACUCAAUUCUCCUUACCAAAUCAAAAGUUGCAGUUAUAAAUUAGAAAAAAACAAAUUACACUGAUAUUCCUCAUUACUGUCUUCAAAAUUCAUUCAUACAGAAUCGGUUAGAGUAAUCUGUUUUAAAACGGAUUAAAAUAGAAAUGACUACAGAAUUUGUUAUACGCAUUUAUUUAUUUAACGAGGAUCAUGACAGAUGGUAGUUAUGAAAUUUGAAGAGUAGAAAGUGUGAUCUAUGAUGAAAGAAAGAAAGAAAGAAAGAAACCUUGGCGACAUAUUCCAAUUCAGCAAAUUUGAAAGCGAGGCCGAGACAACGAAAGAGAACGGAGAUGUGAGAGGCGGCCUCGCAGAAAGUGUUGAGGCGAAUGUGGGUGUCGUGCUUCUCCUUCAUCCACUUCGACAGUUCCUCAAACGCCUCUGCUAUGGCCGUCAGAGGUUGCUCUAUAACCUCGCCCUCCUCCAUCUCCGGCAUCCUAUUCUUCCUUCGAACGAUGGAUCGAUUAUGGAAUAUCAAUUACCGAUUCCUUUGAUUUCAAUGUGCCUGCAAAUGUCUGAAACGUCGAAAAAGAAUUGGAACAGGAAUUGGCAAAGGUAAAAACCAAAGCGCGUGUUUAGAUCGUAAGGAAUCAAUUCGUUUCCCUCAAACCCGUGGAAGACAAACGUCCACCCACAAUUGCUGACUUCUCGUUUGGGAUUCAAUAUUCACGCGCCAUUAUUAUUAUCCCGCUUUCGGACUGCCGGCCUCUUUCAAUUGGGCCCCGGCCCAGCCCAUUUCUUUUUGUCUAUGCUUUUUUUUAUGUUAUUCCUUAGUAUUCUUAUAAAAAAAACAUAAAGCAUUCUUCUUUAAUAGUUAAUAAAAAUAUUAAAAGAUUUCUUAUUCUUCUAGAAUAUAUAUUUUUAAUUAAAUAUUAUGUGAAAUAUCAUAAAAUUAUAAUAAUAAGUAUUAUUAUUCUAUUUUUUAUAACAAUUUUUUAAUACAAAUAAAAGUACGGUUCAUACUUAAACCCUUAAACCUAAACACAUAUAUCAUUUAACUUAUAAGAAAAAAUCUUAAAACAUUAAUUUAGAAUAAAUUUUAUUAAAACAAUUUGAAAUUUACAAUAUACAAUAAUAUAUAAAUAUAUGUUAUUCGAAAUAAAAUAUCUCUCAAAUCCUUAUGAGGUUUCAUAAUUAUAAACAUUUUCUCAAAUCAAGAUCUAAGAAAAAUAAUAUCAAUAUACUCUCUUUUUACGUCAAUAGAACUCACAUAAACUAGAAAUUAGAUUAUCACCUACAUCCUUUGGUACAACAAAAAUAUAAGGGACUAUAAUACAAUCAGGAAUAACAAUAACAACUCAAUUUAGAUAGUGCAAUAACUUACAUCUCUCUUAAUUUAAAUUAUUUAAAUUAUCAAUCAAGUCAAUAUAUCUACUUUCAAUUGUGAGUUUCACUAUUCAAAUACUACAAAAAUAGAAACCAAGUCAUAUUACCACCCCAAAUUUUUCCAUUAAACUCAACUCAAUACAGACAUAUCUUAAUUCAUGCCUAUUUUAUUUCCCCACUUUCAUACUAAUCCCAUAAAACACAUUCCACAUAAAAAAUUAUAUGAAACAGUUCAUUUAAUUUAAUAAACAGAAUAUUGUUUAAACAAUAUUGUUCACUUAAAAGUAAAAAUAAAAAAUAUACACUCUCACUUAGUUAAGAUGUAAAAUAUUGCUUGAACAACAUAAAAAUUGUUAGAAUUUUUUUUCCUCGAGUAAUCAUCCAUGACUUGGAGGGACUUAAUAAUGUCUUGAUUUGUGUUUUUUUUUUUUUUUUUUGUCUUCGGUAGCUCAGCAACACACCUAUGGUUUUUGGUCAGGCAGGGGAGGUUGGUGACAUUUACGGCCUCCAGCAAGCAUGAAUUCAAAUUUAUUCUGGCAGUCAGUAGCUUUAUAUUGGUUUCUACAUGGCAGCAAGUACAAUUAUGACGGUACAUAUUUGAUUUACAAGUUAAAUCAUGUUUAAAAAUUGAGAAAUAACUUACAUUUAUCAUACAUGGUCAUCCUAGCUCGUUUCAUCGACACCUCAUUCAGAAUUACCAAAAUUUCAUUAUAAAUGUUGACGUGAAAAGUGUAUAAUAAGAAAACUUUCAAAAUAUGGUUGAUUUGAUUUUUAAUAAGUUCUUAACAUUUUAAUUAAUUCCAACAUCUAUUCAACUUAAUUUUGUUUAUGAUAAAUUUCAAAACACGGUAACUAUUUUAAAAUUAUUUCCAUGUAUUUCAGAGACGACUAAUUUGGCAACUGUGAACAACUAGGGCAGAAAAAAAAAAUGCACAAUCACAAAUGGUAAAAACUAAAAAGGAUGGCAGAAAAGGCGGGGCAAACAACUAUUUAUAUGAAUACUAAGAAAGCCUCGAGGAACUUGGAGGAAAUGAUAAAUACAAGGGCAACAUAAAGGAGAGGCUAAAACUUAUCCACUUGAGAUUGUCAAUAUCAAACUUUAACCCAUUAAACAUCGAGUGUAACAAAGACCCAUCGAGAAAAAAAGUUGAAAAGAAAUAAUUUGGCAAAUUGGAAAGGAGAUCUAUUGUUCAUCAAACUCGUGAAUGUGAUCUAAAAGGUAGUUCGCAGCCAAUUCCUCAUUUUUGUUACACGCGAAGUAGACCUCCAAUACGAUUGCACGAUCAAAACCCAUUGCUUCAAGCUGAAAACAAAAACCACAACUCAAAUUAUUAUAAAUUUCAGUCACAACUCAUCAGAUUAUUAUAAAUUUCAGACGACAGACGAGCUAAUCAACAUGUUAACCGCUGGUGCUCCUCGGAAACAAUAGGGGUCUGUUAAAAAAUAAUCACUGAUAAAGUCCUUUAAAACAAUACCCCUGAUGUUCUGAGGAACGGGACGGAGGCCGAAUUCGAACUAUGCUUAAAGCCGGCUAAACAAAUGUGUAGUGCUAAUAUUACAACAAUCACUACUCUUGAAACACUCAAUAAACAUAUGCAUCACAUCCUAACGAGAAACCAUGAUAAAGAUAGCCAAAGCACCAGAGAGAUGCGUAGGUUUAUCAUUUAAUGAUUUAUAUAAAAACAAAAAGUCAAACUUAC
Molecule: long non-coding RNA, 14070 nt
Filed under: Phaseolus vulgaris (common bean)
Lineage: Eukaryota; Viridiplantae; Streptophyta; Magnoliopsida; Fabales; Fabaceae
Description: long non-coding RNA (PVUL_LNC001970)
Source: RNAcentral